This 253-nucleotide ribosomal RNA is filed under the name uncultured bacterium. RNAcentral describes it as "partial 16S ribosomal RNA". It matches the Rfam family "Bacterial small subunit ribosomal RNA", at positions 524 to 776 of the family's 1533-position model. The record is from RNAcentral.
UACGAAGGGGGCUAGCGUUGCUCGGAAUUACUGGGCGUAAAGCGUGCGCAGGCGGUUUCACAAGCUCGAUGUGAAAGCCCCGGGCUUAACCUGGGAAUGGCAUUGAGGACUGUGGAGCUCGAGUGCGGCAGAGGGAGGUGGAAUUCCACGUGUAGCAGUGAAAUGCGUAGAGAUGUGGAGGAACACCGAUGGCGAAGGCAGCCUCCUGGGCCGACACUGACGCUCAUGCACGAAAGCGUGGGGAGCAAACAGG